UAGUCAUAUGCUUGUCUCAAAGAUUAAGCCAUGCAUGUCUAAGUAUAAACUGCUUUAUACUGUGAAACUGCGAAUGGCUCAUUAAAUCAGUUAUAGUUUAUUUGAUGGUACUUACUUACUCGGAUACCCGUAGUAAUUCUAGAGCUAAUACGUGCGUACAUCCCGACUUCUGGAAGGGACGUAUUUAUUAGAUAAAAGGCCGACCGGGCUUGCCCGACUCGCGGUGACUCAUGAUAACUUCACGAAUCGCAUGGCCUUGCGCCGGCGAUGUUUCAUUCAAAUUUCUGCCCUAUCAACUUUUGAUGGUAGGAUAGAGGCCUACCAUGGUGGUAACGGGUGACGGAGAAUUAGGGUUCGAUUCCGGAGAGGGAGCCUGAGAAACGGCUACCACAUCCAAGGAAGGCAGCAGGCGCGCAAAUUACCCAAUCCUGAUACAGGGAGGUAGUGA
This 448-nucleotide ribosomal RNA is filed under the name uncultured eukaryote. RNAcentral describes it as "SSU rRNA". It matches the Rfam family "Eukaryotic small subunit ribosomal RNA", at positions 21 to 470 of the family's 1831-position model. The record is from RNAcentral.